This 347-nucleotide unclassified non-coding RNA is filed under the name soil metagenome. RNAcentral's name for it is "partial contains 5.8S ribosomal RNA, internal transcribed spacer 2, and large subunit ribosomal RNA". The stretch from base 1 to 120 matches the Rfam family "5.8S ribosomal RNA", at positions 35 to 154 of the family's 154-position model. The record is from RNAcentral.
GAUGAAGAACGCAGCGAAAUGCGAUACGUAAUGUGAAUUGCAGAAUUCAGUGAAUCAUCGAGUCUUUGAACGCACAUUGCGCCCCCUGGUAUUCCGGGGGGCAUGCCUGUCCGAGCGUCAUUGCUGCCCUCAAGCACGGCUUGUGUGUUGGGCUUCCGUCCCUGGUAACGGGGACGGGCCCAAAAGGCAGUGGCGGCACCAUGUCUGGUCCUCGAGCGUAUGGGGCUUUGUCACCCGCUCCCGUAGGUCCAGCUGGCAGCUAGCCUCGCAACCAAUCUUUUUAACCAGGUUGACCUCGGAUCAGGUAGGGAUACCCGCUGAACUUAAGCAUAUCAAUAAGCGGAGGA